This 18-nucleotide unclassified non-coding RNA is filed under the name Mus musculus (house mouse). RNAcentral describes it as "oocyte_clustered_small_RNA14185". Lineage: Eukaryota; Metazoa; Chordata; Mammalia; Rodentia; Muridae. The record is from RNAcentral.
CCAUCCAAGACCUAAUAA